This 253-nucleotide ribosomal RNA is filed under the name uncultured bacterium. RNAcentral describes it as "partial 16S ribosomal RNA". It matches the Rfam family "Bacterial small subunit ribosomal RNA", at positions 524 to 776 of the family's 1533-position model. The record is from RNAcentral.
UACGGCGGGUGCAAGCGUUAUCCGGAUUCACUGGGUUUAAAGGGUGCGUAGGCGGGCAGGUAAGUCAGUGGUGAAAUCUUCGAGCUUAACUCGGAAACUGCCGUUGAUACUAUCUGUCUUGAAUACCGUGGAGAUGAGCGGAAUAUGUCAUGUAGCGGUGAAAUGCUUAGAUAUGACAUAGAACACCAAUUGCGAAGGCAGCUCGUUACACGAAUAUUGACUCUGAGGCACGAAAGCGUGGGGAUCAAACAGG